Molecule: ribosomal RNA, 434 nt
Filed under: uncultured Ruminococcus sp.
Lineage: Bacteria; Bacillati; Bacillota; Clostridia; Eubacteriales; Oscillospiraceae
Description: partial 16S ribosomal RNA
Rfam family: Bacterial small subunit ribosomal RNA
Source: RNAcentral
ACGGGAGGCAGCAGUGGGGAAUAUUGCACAAUGGGCGCAAGCCUGAUGCAGCGAUGCCGCGUGAGGGAAGAAGGUUUUCGGAUUGUAAACCUCUGUCAUCGGGGACGAUAAUGACUGUACCCGAGAAGGAAGCUCCGGCUAACUACGUGCCAGCAGCCGCGGUAAUACGUAGGGAGCGAGCGUUAUCCGGAAUUACUGGGUGUAAGGGGAGUGUAGGCGGGACUGUAAGUCAGAUGUGAAAUAUGCCGGCUCAACUGGCAGACUGCAUUUGAAACUGCGGUUCUUGAGUGAAGUAGAGGUAAGCGGAAUUCCUAGUGUAGCGGUGAAAUGCGUAGAUAUUCGGAGGAACACCAGUGGCGAAGGCGGCUUGCUGGGCUUUUACUGACGCUGAGGCUCGAAAGUGUGGGGAGCAAACAGGAUUAGAUACCCUGGUA